This 253-nucleotide ribosomal RNA is filed under the name uncultured bacterium. RNAcentral describes it as "partial 16S ribosomal RNA". It matches the Rfam family "Bacterial small subunit ribosomal RNA", at positions 524 to 776 of the family's 1533-position model. The record is from RNAcentral.
UACGUAGGGGGCAAGCGUUGUCCGGAAUCAUUGGGCGUAAAGCGCGUGUAGGCGGCCCGAUAAGUCCGCUGUGAAAGUCCAGGGCUCAACCCUGGGAUGCCGGUGGAUACUGUCGGGCUCGAGUCCGGAAGAGGCGAGUGGAAUUCCUGGUGUAGCGGUGUAAUGCGCAGAUAUCAGGAGGAACACCAAUGGCGAAGGCAGCUCGCUGGGACGUGACUGACGCUGAGACGCGAAAGCGUGGGGAGCAAACAGG